Pipistrellus kuhlii (Kuhl's pipistrelle) is the source of this 1700-nucleotide long non-coding RNA. RefSeq lists it as uncharacterized. The transcript has 2 exons. The record is from RefSeq and is a predicted model, not a curated record. NCBI's taxonomy places the organism in Eukaryota, Metazoa, Chordata, Mammalia, Chiroptera, Vespertilionidae.
CUAUUUUUACAAACAGGAUCAGAGACAAAAAUGAGACCUGGCACCCUGGAUGCACUGGUUACAACUGAGCUUACUCAGUUUAGAUCUGACUUUUGGGAGGAGUUAAGGGAAAAAAGUUGAGACAUUAUUUAGUCUGAUAAAAAAUAAGCAAACAUAUUUUUCUAAAGAGACAAGAUUUUUUUCCCCUGGCACUGAAUUUAAGGAGAAAUUUUGUAUGUCUGUGGGUUUUUGUUUAAGGUACAUGGAGUAAUUUAAUAAAUAUCUUAAAAUGUGGUUUUGUGAAAGACAGAUUGUUCUUCAAAUGAAUUUUUAUAUUAGUACACUGUGAAAACUAAGAGACUUGCAUUCCAUCUUAACUACAUGAAGAUUUCUGUAAGAGAUCAAAAUAACAAUAUCAUGUAUUAUAAAUUCCAUUCUCUAGGUAUUACCUAAUAUAGGUAAUAGAUUCUAGCUCUCACUCUCACCUACCUCGGAGCCAAAUUCAGAAUUUCAUCCUGAAAGGAUUCAAUGUCAAAAAUCCUUGAGGGAGGGAUGAAGAUCUUCAGACCCUCCAGAGCAAGGAUGAGGGGCCAGGUACGGGACAGAAAGCUCCAGAUGCCUAGCAAGGGGCAAACUGGGAAAACAAGAACCCCACCCCCAGGGUAGCCUAUCCUCCCCAUUUCAUACCACUAGUCAGGCAGCUUGGAACCCAAUCUUCCAAUCUUCCAAAGUAGAUCCAAAUCCACUCUUUUUUUUUUUUUUUACACUAGGCAGACAUAUUUGUGUUUAGUUUGUUAUUCACAUUUCUCACCAAACAGCAGAAACUUAAUCAAACUCAUCCAUUGGAGUUUGUUCCUCUUUCCAGUUACCUAUUUCUCUUUCCAAAUUGCUACAAAUCCUCUCUGCGGUCCAGGUUUAGUUUCUGUUCUCAACUGAGGAUAGCCUACCUCUUGUCUACAUUAUUUAAAAACAACAACCAACCACCACCACCACCACCACCAACAAAACCAAUAAACAAAAGCCUGGUUUAAUCAGUGGAGUAAUUUCCAUUUAUUGUUCUCAAGCAAGACUAUAAUGCCUUACCAACCUACUGAAACAUGACUUCUGCUUUUGGCGUGACAGUAGACCACAUACUCUCCUCUUACAAAACAACUAGAACCUACAUAAAACACAACUUUUAUUAUAUUGCUUAUAUAUCACAGCAAAUAGAGAACCUUCCAAAGGAGAAAAUAAAAAACCCAAAGAACCUCGAGUGCCUCUGAGAAGGCAGAGUUGAACAGGAAGCAGAUGAAAUUGCAGUCGAAAACCAUGUAGAUAAGAAGAGAAUGAGAGUCCAUAUAAUUAAUAAACUACAACUUAGACCACCAAGAACUUUGGAAAUGUAAAAUAGCUAUGGAUAAAACGUUUAAAGAAACAAAAGGCGAAUGUUAGGUCUGUUCAAAUCAUUGAAUCAAUACCCCUUCCCUGGAACUGACCUUUAGGCCACUUCACAACCAACAUUCCCUUUCCUUCAGACCACAGUCCACCUGCUAAGACCACAUUCCUCUUGCUAAGACCAUAAUCCUUCCCCUCCAGACCUUCCCAGGAUCUGGACCCUCCCAGAGAAUUCUCUACCCAGAAAAGCCUGCCUAGAGUCCUUUAAAAUCUCUGACUCCCUGUCUCUGGGUGCUGGUGCCAUUUUGGGGCUCAGCCCAUCUGGUUUUCCAGAUGACCUAAUAAAU